AUUGAACGCUGGCGGCAGGCCUAACACAUGCAAGUCGAGCGGAUGAAGGGAGCUUGCUCCUGGAUUCAGCGGCGGACGGGUGAGUAAUGCCUAGGAAUCUGCCUGGUAGUGGGGGAUAACGUCCGGAAACGGGCGCUAAUACCGCAUACGUCCUGAGGGAGAAAGUGGGGGAUCUUCGGACCUCACGCUAUCAGAUGAGCCUAGGUCGGAUUAGCUAGUUGGUGGGGUAAAGGCCUACCAAGGCGACGAUCCGUAACUGGUCUGAGAGGGUGAUCAGUCACACUGGAACUGAGACACGGUCCAGACUCCUACGGGAGGCAGCAGUGGGGAAUAUUGGACAAUGGGCGAAAGCCUGAUCCAGCCAUGCCGCGUGUGUGAAGAAGGUCUUCGGAUUGUAAAGCACUUUAAGUUGGGAGGAAGGGCAGUAAGUUAAUACCUUGCUGUUUUGACGUUACCAACAGAAUAAGCACCGGCUAACUUCAUG
This 484-nucleotide ribosomal RNA is filed under the name uncultured bacterium. RNAcentral's name for it is "partial 16S ribosomal RNA". It matches the Rfam family "Bacterial small subunit ribosomal RNA", at positions 30 to 507 of the family's 1533-position model. The record is from RNAcentral.